UGGAUUAGGCAUGCAAGUCGAACGAGCCUUCGGGCUAGUGGCGAACGGGUGAGUAACACGUGGGUAACCUGCCUCGUAGUGGGGAAUAACUCGCCGAAAGGCGAGCUAAUACCGCAUAACACCCUCGGUGAGAAUCCGAGAGGUAAAAGCUUUAUGCGCUAUGAGAGGGGCCCGCGGCCGAUUAGCUUGUUGGUGGGGUAACGGCCUACCAAGGCGACGAUCGGUAGCUGGUCUGAGAGGAUGGUCAGCCACACGGGGACUGAGAUACGGCCCCGACUCCUACGGGAGGCAGCAGCUAAGAAUCUUGCGCAAUGGGCGAAAGCCUGACCGAGCGACGCCGCGUGUGGGAUGAAGGCCCUUGGGUUGUAAACCACUGUCAGAGGGGAUGAAGUGCUAGAGAGCUAUCUCUCUAGUUUGACAUAGCCUCAGAGGAAGCACGGGCUAAGUUCGUGCCAGCAGCCGCGGUA
RNAcentral lists this ribosomal RNA (467 nucleotides) under uncultured bacterium. RNAcentral describes it as "bacterial SSU rRNA". It matches the Rfam family "Bacterial small subunit ribosomal RNA", at positions 45 to 522 of the family's 1533-position model. The record is from RNAcentral.